This 521-nucleotide ribosomal RNA is filed under the name uncultured Burkholderia sp. Its description in RNAcentral is "bacterial SSU rRNA". It matches the Rfam family "Bacterial small subunit ribosomal RNA", at positions 1 to 523 of the family's 1533-position model. The record is from RNAcentral. Lineage: Bacteria; Pseudomonadati; Pseudomonadota; Betaproteobacteria; Burkholderiales; Burkholderiaceae.
UAGAGUUUGAUCCUGGCUCAGAUUGAACGCUGGCGGCAUGCCUUACACAUGCAAGUCGGACGGCAGCGCGGGAGCAAUCCUGGCGGCGAGUGGCGAACGGGUGAGUAAUACAUCGGAACAUGUCCAGUAGUGGGGGAUAGCCCGGCGAAAGCCGGAUUAAUACCGCAUACGAUCUAUGGAUGAAAGCGGGGGAUCGCAAGACCUCGCGCUAUUGGGGUGGCCGAUGGCGGAUUAGCUAGUUGGUGGGGUAAAGGCCUACCAAGGCGACGAUCCGUAGCUGGUCUGAGAGGACGACCAGCCACACUGGGACUGAGACACGGCCCAGACUCCUACGGGAGGCAGCAGUGGGGAAUUUUGGACAAUGGGGGCAACCCUGAUCCAGCAAUGCCGCGUGUGUGAAGAAGGCCUUCGGGUUGUAAAGCACUUUUGUCCGGGAAGAAAUCCCCUGCCCUAAUACAGCGGGGGGAUGACGGUACCGGAAGAAUAAGCACCGGCUAACUACGUGCCAGCAGCCGCGGUAA